GACGAACGCUGGCGGCGUGCCUAAUACAUGCAAGUCGAACGCAGUGGGGACGGGUGAGUAACACGUGGGUAACCUCCCAUCAGAGGGGAUAACACUUGGCAACAGGUGCUAAACCGAUACUGAUGGAUGGACCCGCGGUGCAUUAGCUAGUUGGUGAGGUAACGGCUCACCAAGGCCACGAUGCAUAGCCGACCUGAGAGGGUGAGCGGCCACACUGGGACUGAGACACGGCCCAGACUCCUACGGGAGGCAGCAGUAGGGAAUCUUCGGCAAUGGACGAAAGUCUGACGGAGCCACGCCGCGUGAAUGAAGAAGGUUUUCGGAUCGUAAAACUCUGUUGUUAGAGAGGCGUUAACUAACCAAAAAGCCACGGCUAACUACGUGCCAGCAGCCGCGGUAAUUC
This 403-nucleotide ribosomal RNA is filed under the name uncultured bacterium. RNAcentral's name for it is "partial 16S ribosomal RNA". It matches the Rfam family "Bacterial small subunit ribosomal RNA", at positions 28 to 526 of the family's 1533-position model. The record is from RNAcentral.